UACAGAGGGGGCAAGCGUUGUUCGGAAUUACUGGGCGUAAAGGGCGCGUAGGCGGCCUUCUAAGUCGAACGUGAAAUCCCCGGGCUCAACCCGGGAACUGCGUCCGAUACUGGAAGGCUUGAAUCCGGGAGAGGGAUGUGGAAUUCCAGGUGUAGCGGUGAAAUGCGUAGAUAUCCGGAGGAACACCGGUGGCGAAGGCGGCUUCCUGGACCGACACUGACACUGAGGCACGAAAGCGUGGGGAGCAAACAGG
Molecule: ribosomal RNA, 253 nt
Filed under: uncultured bacterium
Lineage: Bacteria
Description: partial 16S ribosomal RNA
Rfam family: Bacterial small subunit ribosomal RNA
Source: RNAcentral